This is a small RNA of Oryza rufipogon (brownbeard rice), 371 nucleotides long. It matches the Rfam family "5' ureB small RNA". Lineage: Eukaryota; Viridiplantae; Streptophyta; Magnoliopsida; Poales; Poaceae. The record is from Rfam.
CUUCUGCCAACUGAGGGCAUAUGAAGUGAACAUGGCAAUCAAUUCCACCAGCAGUAACAAUCAUGCCUUCAGCAGCAAUAACUUCAGUAUUAACCUGCAAUUGCGUAUGGCAUAAAUCUGUUCUUCUGUAAAUCACGAGAAACAAAUGAAAGAAAUAAAGUAGUUACCCCCACAAUCAUCUCUUCAUUAACACCAUCCAUGUCCAUGACAUCAGGGUUUCCAGCCUUCCCAAUAGCAACGAUAAGUCCACCAUUUAUACCAAUGUCAGCUUUGUAUAUUCCUGUAUAGUCAAUCACAACAGCAUUUGUUACAACUGUGUCCAGGCAAUCUGAGGCUGGAUACCCUGCCGACUGUCCCAUUCCAUCACGUAG